This 301-nucleotide ribosomal RNA is filed under the name uncultured bacterium. RNAcentral's name for it is "partial 16S ribosomal RNA". It matches the Rfam family "Bacterial small subunit ribosomal RNA", at positions 509 to 807 of the family's 1533-position model. The record is from RNAcentral.
CAGUAGCCGCGGGAAUACGAAGGGUGCAAGCGUUACUCGGAAUUACUGGGCGUAAAGCGUGCGCAGGCGGUUAUAUAAGACAGAUGUGAAAUCCCCGGGCUCAACCUGGGACCUGCAUUUGUGACUGUAUAGCUAGAGUACGGUAGAGGGGGAUGGAAUUCCGCGUGUAGCAGUGAAAUGCGUAGAUAUGCGGAGGAACACCGAUGGCGAAGGCAAUCCCCUGGACCUGUACUGACGCUCAUGCACGAAAGCGUGGGGAGCAAACAGGAUUAGAUACCCCUGUAGUCCCUGUCUCUUAUAC